Molecule: long non-coding RNA, 259 nt
Organism: Zingiber officinale
Lineage: Eukaryota; Viridiplantae; Streptophyta; Magnoliopsida; Zingiberales; Zingiberaceae
Exons: 2
Source: RefSeq, a predicted model, not a curated record
CUCCUCCUUUUCGGUUGUAAGUCCAAGAACAGCGAUAUAAAGGUAAAGAUAAAGGAAAAACUAAAGUAUGAAAGGAAGGCGACAAGGAGCUGAUGGAGGUGUGAUGUGUGGACUAUGGAAGCCUUGGGACUAAGUUUUAGAAAUCUAUAAAGACUUGUAUUUAGACUAUUGGAGUUUUUGCCACCAUGUGAUGAUUUGGUUUAGCUUCUUAGAUGUUUUAUGUUUUAUAUUUAUUAGAACUGCGUGGUUGUUUGUUUAA